AAUCUGCCCUGCACUCUGGGACAAGCCCUGGAAACGGGGUCUAAUACCGGAUACUGAUCCUCGCAGGCAUCUGCGAGGUUCGAAAGCUCCGGCGGUGCAGGAUGAGCCCGCGGCCUAUCAGCUAGUUGGUGAGGUAACGGCUCACCAAGGCGACGACGGGUAGCCGGCCUGAGAGGGCGACCGGCCACACUGGGACUGAGACACGGCCCAGACUCCUACGGGAGGCAGCAGUGGGGAAUAUUGCACAAUGGGCGAAAGCCUGAUGCAGCGACGCCGCGUGAGGGAUGACGGCCUUCGGGUUGUAAACCUCUUUCAGCAGGGAAGAAGCGAAAGUGACGGUACCUGCAGAAGAAGCGCCGGCUAACUACGUGCCAGCAGCCGCGGUAAUACGUAGGGCGCAAGCGUUGUCCGGAAUUAUUGGGCGUAAAGAGCUCGUAGGCGGCUUGUCACGUCGGUUGUGAAAGCCCGGGGCUUAACCCCGGGUCUGCAGUCGAUACGGGCAGGCUAGAGUUCGGUAGGGGAGAUCGGAAUUCCUGGUGUAGCGGUGAAAUGCGCAGAUAUCAGGAGGAACACCGGUGGCGAAGGCGGAUCUCUGGGCCGAUACUGACGCUGAGGAGCGAAAGCGUGGGGAGCGAACAGGAUUAGAUACCCUGGUAGUCCACGCCGUAAACGGUGGGCACUAGGUGUGGGCAACAUUCCACGUUGUCCGUGCCGCAGCUAACGCAUUAAGUGCCCCGCCUGGGGAGUACGGCCGCAAGGCUAAAACUCAAAGGAAUUGACGGGGGCCCGCACAAGCGGCGGAGCAUGUGGCUUAAUUCGACGCAACGCGAAGAACCUUACCAAGGCUUGACAUACACCGGAAAACCCUGGAGACAGGGUCCCCCUUGUGGUCGGUGUACAGGUGGUGCAUGGCUGUUCGUCAGCUCGUGUCGUGAGAUGUUGGGUUAAGUCCCGCAACGAGCGCAACCCUUGUCCCGUGUUGCCAGCAGGCCCUUGUGGUGCUGGGGACUCACGGGAGACCGCCGGGGUCAACUCGGAGGAAGGUGGGGACGACGUCAAGUCAUCAUGCCCCUUAUGUCUUGGGCUGCACACGUGCUACAAUGGCCGGUACAAUGAGCUGCGAUACCGCGAGGUGGAGCGAAUCUCAAAAAGCCGGUCUCAGUUCGGAUUGGGGUCUGCAACUCGACCCCAUGAAGUCGGAGUCGCUAGUAAUCGCAGAUCAGCAUUGCUGCGGUGAAUACGUUCCCGGGCCUUGUACACACCGCCCGUCACGUC
RNAcentral lists this ribosomal RNA (1275 nucleotides) under Streptomyces rochei. RNAcentral describes it as "bacterial SSU rRNA". It matches the Rfam family "Bacterial small subunit ribosomal RNA", at positions 123 to 1403 of the family's 1533-position model. Lineage: Bacteria; Bacillati; Actinomycetota; Actinomycetes; Kitasatosporales; Streptomycetaceae. The record is from RNAcentral.